This 253-nucleotide ribosomal RNA is filed under the name uncultured prokaryote. RNAcentral describes it as "partial 16S ribosomal RNA". It matches the Rfam family "Bacterial small subunit ribosomal RNA", at positions 524 to 776 of the family's 1533-position model. The record is from RNAcentral.
AACGUAGGAGGCGAGCGUUAUCCGGAUUUACUGGGUGUAAAGCGCGUGCAGGCGGUUUGUUAAGUGGGAUGUGAAAGCUCCUGGCUCAACUGGGAGAGGUCGUUCCAGACUGGCAGACUGGAGAGCAGCAAGGGAAGGUGGAAUUCCGGGUGUAGUGGUGAAAUGCGUAGAUAUCCGGAGGAACACCAGUGGCGAAGGCGGCCUUCUGGGCUGCAUCUGACGCUCAGACGCGAAAGCUAGGGGAGCAAACGGG